RNAcentral lists this ribosomal RNA (253 nucleotides) under uncultured bacterium. RNAcentral's name for it is "partial 16S ribosomal RNA". It matches the Rfam family "Bacterial small subunit ribosomal RNA", at positions 524 to 776 of the family's 1533-position model. The record is from RNAcentral.
UACGUAGGGGGCAAGCGUUGUCCGGACUUACUGGGCGUAAAGCGCGUGCAGGCGGAUUGGUAUGUGCCGUGUGAAAGCUCCCGGCUUGCCCGGGAGAGGUCGCGGUAGACAGCCGAUCUGGAGGCUCGGAGAGGUUCGUGGAAUUCCAGGUGUAGCGGUGAAAUGCGUAGAUAUCUGGAGGAACACCGGUGGCGAAGGCGGCAUCCUGGACCGGUAUUGACGCUGAGGCGCGAAAGCUAGGGGAGCAAACGGG